ACGUAGGGGGCAAGCGUUAUCCGGAUUUACUGGGUGUAAAGGGAGCGUAGACGGCAUGGCAAGCCAGAUGUGAAAGCCUGGGGCUCAACCCCGGGACUGCAUUUGGAACUGUCAGGCUAGAGUGUCGGAGAGGAAAGCGGAAUUCCUAGUGUAGCGGUGAAAUGCGUAGAUAUUAGGAGGAACACCAGUGGCGAAGGCGGCUUUCUGGACGAUGACUGACGUUGAGGCUCGAAAGCGUGGGGAGCAAACAG
Molecule: ribosomal RNA, 251 nt
Filed under: uncultured bacterium
Lineage: Bacteria
Description: partial 16S ribosomal RNA
Rfam family: Bacterial small subunit ribosomal RNA
Source: RNAcentral